GUGCCAGCCGCCGCGGUAAGACGAACCGUGCGAACGUUGUUCGGAAUCACUGGGCUUAAAGGGCGCGUAGGCGGGCUGGCAAGUCCGUGGUGAAAUCCUCCGGCUCAACCGGAGAACGGCCUCGGAUACUGGCGGCCUCGAGGGGGAUAGGGGCGUGCGGAACUGUGGGUGGAGCGGUGAAAUGCGUUGAUAUCCACAGGAACUCCGGUGGCGAAGGCGGCACGCUGGAUCCUCUCUGACGCUGAGGCGCGAAAGCCAGGGGAGCGAACGGGAUUAGAUACCCCCGUAGUCC
Molecule: ribosomal RNA, 292 nt
Filed under: uncultured bacterium
Lineage: Bacteria
Description: partial 16S ribosomal RNA
Rfam family: Bacterial small subunit ribosomal RNA
Source: RNAcentral